AAGACGGCUGCAAGUCAUUGGCGCCCUCCGCAUCCACCGGUACGUCUUGCACGCGCACGCCCCCGCCCCCACUAUAGCCGCAGACCUCCAUAUGCCGGAGUACGAUGGCAGCAACGACGGACUACUUCGACGCCCACCAACUGUUCGACCUGAUGUCAAGACGGUUGCAUGGUAAAUUUACUUCAAUUCAGUCUAGACAUUGCUUUACUAUACUCCUUAUUUUGUGUUCUUUUAAAAGUUUUGAUUUUUACCAUAAACAAUUUUCUAGGUCAUGUACUACAGAUUGGUGCCAACUUCCCAUUUUGCUAUUUAUUGGUGCCCUUAGUUCUUCUUUUUGAUCAUGUUUAUAUUUUUCAUUUCAGUUCUGGCCCACCAUAAUCUAUGCUAUACAGUAAUUUUAUAUGUUUGUAUUGCCUAAAAGAUUUAGCCUCUAUGAUGCAUGCACGAUGAUGAUAACCGAGCUAGGGCAGGUUGUUGGCUGAUUGACAUGGUGCAGCGAGUAGCUGUGCAGAGUUUGAUAUGGUCUUCCUCAAUAAUAAGCGUGCUUGUAUAUAUCAAUUUACCUUUUGUAUUUUCAUGAAGUGAAUCCUUUAAUUGACUAAUAUUGUUACAAGUUCAGUUCUGUGAUAUAGAAAAAGAUAAAGAUAUAUUAUUCUUCUCCCUCCCUCCUCCUCUCCAUUCUUUCCACAUCUUACCCGUCUGUAGUUUAGUUUCAGGUUAGCAAAGCAUCUAUAACACAGUUCUGGUAUGGUAUGCUCUCUAAUUAAAGUGAGGCUGAGUGAAAGUUCACUCUUGGUACACAUUUUAUGAUUCCAUCUUUCUCACUUUGGUAUUUGCACAAGAUCUGGAUAGCUAAUCAUGUAGCUGUAAGUUUAUAAAUUGUUGUUCACAUGAAUUUUACCAAUUGAGAUAUAGUGAAUGGUGGUCUCAUUCUAAGUUUUUUAUUCCAAUAUAUAUGAUUUGAUAAAAGAGUACUAUCUCAAGUUUAGUCUACACACAUCUUGUGAUAGGACCAGUGUAUGAUAUACAAAAUAUCCUGCUCUAUGUAAUAUUUUUUCCGUGAAAAGUACAUCAGCAAAGGACGGUGUCCAUUGCAAUUUGUAUGUUAUUUCGAUUGGAACCUCGAAUAACAAGACAUUGUCACGGUUCAGAAAAUACAAAACACCACCUUAACACAUCAGAAAUACAUAGCAAAUAUUUCAUCAAAAAUGAAGCUCUGUUAUCACAAAUUCCAAGUGACCAUAUUGAGAUCAAUAAAAGUAGCAUAACUGAUUAAUUUGAUAUUGUUGAAGGGAUAAGUUCGUGUGGGGUGCGGCAUAGCUUCGGAGGGUAUCGAGGGAUGACGCCUCCACUCCAUUCAUGCUUCUGGCAUAUGCCAAAUACUAAAAAACAGGUACUAUUUUUUCCUCCCAUAUUUGUGGUUGUCUACUGGCUAAUGCCUAUAUAACAUCCAGUGCAAGGACACUGGCGUUUCUCCGAAUUUUCUAAUCUCACUUGUGUAUACAGGAAUUAGGGUUGAUUAUUUGUAAGAGAUAACCAGAUUAAAAUGGCUUACAUAAUUGGGUACGACCGAUACCUACUGAAGCAUUCAUCUGUACAUGAUCUGCUUUUCUCUAUGAUUCGUCGGAUUUGUUCUCAACUCUAUAUUCUUAAUGAGGGACUAUGAGGUGCUCUGCUUUUUCGUCAAGGGGAGAAGAACAUGUACGAGUAGAAAGGAAAGGGUGUUAUGUUUGCACAAGGCGGGGGAAACCGUACAAGCAAUCAUCUAAGGCUCCGUCCGGAGUGCAGGUACAAAAAGCGUAGGAAAGGAAAACUGCAUAGGGAUCGGACUGAAUGAACAGUUGAAAACUUUGGAACUGGAAAAAGAAGGGAAAGUAUCAAUGUAGAGCGGAGCUUGCAUUCGGAUGGCCAGAGAGAACGCAUGAAGACCAAGUAAUGAAUAGUAGCUAAUACAAUAUUUUAUUUGCACUGUACUUGUCGUUCUCUUCUUACACCUCAUGAACGGCCACAGGAUUGAAUACUUUAUUUCCUCUGCUCUUCCUCGGGGCUCCGCCCAAAAAUGAGCCCCGUGUGGAUUUGUUCAUUCCUGUAAAAUCUGCAUACCUGACGAUCCUUUCCGAUGGAAUGUUGAGUACCUUUCCUUCGAACCGAACAGCUAAAAGGAAAGAAAACCUACAAAAGCAAAUUUUCCUUUGGAAUGGCAGCAAGUCCCAUGAAUCGAACGGGGCCUAAGACUAUGUCUCCUUUGCCUCACACAGGAGGCAAAUAUUCUCUUUGAUCACACUAUUAAUGUCAAUAGCCGAGCAUGUUUGAUGCGGAAAUUACCUGCCUCAUUAGUACCAUAACAAUUAGUGCUUGCAAUUUUUUAACCCGAAGUAUUCACAAUUCUAGGUGAACUUGUGCCUUCUCCAUGUUAUUUGUUGAAUUUUUAUAUGUUCCCUUUUGUUAUCUCUUGUUGCUAGAGCUUUACCAUGUGGAGUUGUCUUAAGUUAUCUGUGUCCGGAAUUAAAUCCUUGUUCUCUGAACAAUAUUGUCCACUGCCUCACGGAUAUGAAUAUCAGGGCUUUGCUUAGAUAGACUGAAUAUCAAUUGAUUUGGAAUUGGUAUAGCAUAUCUGCAAGUUUUAUUUAACCUCUUACCAAUGUAUUUGUGUGCAUUUUCAUUUGUUCAAUACUUUGUUGGAUUUUGAAAUGUUCAGCCCUGAAGUAAUGUUGAUUAUAGCCGUCAUUCUGACGUGUUUAAUUUUGCUCUUUCUUUCUCAGGAUAGUUAUGUUUUUUUUCCUUCUUUGCCAAAAACCAUUGUUGUUCUUCAGAGAGGAAAUGUAUCGUCAAUGAUGCUACUUGUUGAUAUCAUGAGAUGAAGAAAAGAUUGCAUCGCUAAUAACUUCUUUUUUCUGAGUGGUAGACCUGUAGAUAUAACAUACUCGGUGUAAAACUUAUUGAUGACCCUUUGUCUUUCUUGAUACCUUCAUAAGUGAGUCCGAACACUAAGAUCAUAUGUGCUAAUACUUGUGUAGCAGAGUAUGAUCUCAUGGAGAUACACAUUUUUUUAUAAGUGAUGUGUUACAUUUAUGAAAGGUCUUUGGCCCAGUUCAUGGCCAUCAACUU
This 3108-nucleotide long non-coding RNA is filed under the name Triticum aestivum (bread wheat). RNAcentral's name for it is "long non-coding RNA (TAES_LNC022419)". The record is from RNAcentral. Lineage: Eukaryota; Viridiplantae; Streptophyta; Magnoliopsida; Poales; Poaceae.